UUAAUUGAAGAGUUUGAUCAUGGCUCAGAUUGAACGCUGGCGGCAGGCCUAACACAUGCAAGUCGAACGGUAACAGGGAGCAGCUUGCUGCUCUGCUGACGAGUGGCGGACGGGGGAGGAAUGUCUGGGAAACUGCCUGAUGGGGGGGGGUAACUACUGGAAACGGGAGCUAAUACCGCAUAACGUCUACGGACCAAAGGGGGGGACCUUCGGGCCUCAUGCCCACAGAUGUGCCACGAUGGGGUUGGCUGUACGUGGGGGUAAAG
RNAcentral lists this ribosomal RNA (266 nucleotides) under Cronobacter sakazakii. Its description in RNAcentral is "partial 16S ribosomal RNA". It matches the Rfam family "Bacterial small subunit ribosomal RNA", at positions 1 to 262 of the family's 1533-position model. The record is from RNAcentral. Lineage: Bacteria; Pseudomonadati; Pseudomonadota; Gammaproteobacteria; Enterobacterales; Enterobacteriaceae.